Molecule: ribosomal RNA, 431 nt
Filed under: uncultured archaeon
Lineage: Archaea
Description: bacterial SSU rRNA
Rfam family: Archaeal small subunit ribosomal RNA
Source: RNAcentral
UACCAGCUCUCCGAGUGGUAGGGAUGAUUAUUGGGCUUAAAGCGUCCGUAGCCGGCUUAGCAAGUCUCCUGUUAAAUUCAGCGACCUAAUCGUUGAGCCGCGGGAGAUACUACUAGGCUAGGAGGCGGGAGAGGUCAACGGUACUUCCGGGGUAGGGGUGAAAUCCUAUAAUCCCGGGAGGACCACCAGUGGCGAAGGCUGUUGACUAGAACGCGCUCGACGGUGAGGGACGAAAGCUGGGGGAGCGAACCGGAUUAGAUACCCGGGUAGUCCCAGCUGUAAACGAUGCGAGCUAGGUGUUGGGGUGGCUACGUGCCACUUCAGUGCCGCAGGGAAGCCAUUAAGCUCGCCGCCUGGGGAGUACGGCCGCAAGGCUAGAAACUUAAAGGAAUUGGGCGGGGGAGCACCACAAGGCGUGAAGCUUGCGGUUC